UACGGAGGGAGCUAGCGUUGUUCGGAAUUACUGGGCGUAAAGCGCACGUAGGCGGCUUUGUAAGUUAGAGGUGAAAGCCUGGGGCUCAACCCCAGAAUUGCCUUUAAGACUGCAUCGCUUGAAUCCAGGAGAGGUGAGUGGAAUUCCGAGUGUAGAGGUGAAAUUCGUAGAUAUUCGGAAGAACACCAGUGGCGAAGGCGGCUCACUGGACUGGUAUUGACGCUGAGGCUCGAAAGCGUGGGGAGCAAACAGG
RNAcentral lists this ribosomal RNA (253 nucleotides) under uncultured bacterium. RNAcentral's name for it is "partial 16S ribosomal RNA". It matches the Rfam family "Bacterial small subunit ribosomal RNA", at positions 524 to 776 of the family's 1533-position model. The record is from RNAcentral.